Long non-coding RNA from Nycticebus coucang (slow loris), 153 nucleotides. RefSeq lists it as uncharacterized. The record is from RefSeq and is a predicted model, not a curated record. NCBI's taxonomy places the organism in Eukaryota, Metazoa, Chordata, Mammalia, Primates, Lorisidae. The transcript is spliced from 3 exons.
GAAAUCACUCUUAUCAACCAUCCAGGAAAACAAGGAAAUCCACAAGAGUCAAGACAGAGAAAAGAGGAGCCAGAAAUAUGGGACAUUCAGAGGAAAGAGAACUGGCGAGAGUCAAGCAAAAGAGGAAAGGAAGCUGAUUUCUAUGCUGAUAAG